GCGUUGAUGGUGUAUUGGUUAGCAUUGUUGCCAUCUAAGCAAUAAUCUGGGUUCGAUUCCCGGUCAACGCA
This 71-nucleotide transfer RNA is filed under the name Dendronephthya gigantea. RNAcentral's name for it is "tRNA-Arg". It matches the Rfam family "tRNA". From Rfam's summary of the family: Transfer RNA (tRNA) molecules are approximately 80 nucleotides in length. Their secondary structure includes four short double-helical elements and three loops (D, anti-codon, and T loops). Lineage: Eukaryota; Metazoa; Cnidaria; Anthozoa; Malacalcyonacea; Nephtheidae. The record is from RNAcentral.